This 105-nucleotide small nucleolar RNA is filed under the name Callithrix jacchus (white-tufted-ear marmoset). RNAcentral describes it as "Small nucleolar RNA U13 (ENSCJAG00000079165.1)". It matches the Rfam family "Small nucleolar RNA U13". Lineage: Eukaryota; Metazoa; Chordata; Mammalia; Primates; Cebidae. The record is from Rfam by way of RNAcentral.
AUCCUUUUGUAGUUAGUGAGUUUAAUGACUGGGUGUUCACGCACUUGCGUGAGAUGUGCCACCCUCAAACUUUGUUACGAUGUCAGCUCAUUACCUAACUUGAAA